GGGUCAGUAGGUUGGUCGUGCCACCGGUACGUACUGGUCUCACUGAUUCCUCCUUCCUGAAGAACCGUAAUGCCAUUAAUUUGGUGUUGCGGGGAAACAGGACUGUUACUUUGAAAAAAUUAGAGUGUUUAAAGCAAGCUAACGCUUGAAUACAUUAGCGUGGAAUAAUGAAAUAGGACGAUCGAUCCUAUUUUGUCGGUUUCUAGGAUUGACGUA
RNAcentral lists this ribosomal RNA (216 nucleotides) under Glomeromycotina sp. RNAcentral describes it as "partial small subunit ribosomal RNA". The stretch from base 40 to 216 matches the Rfam family "Eukaryotic small subunit ribosomal RNA", at positions 686 to 864 of the family's 1831-position model. Lineage: Eukaryota; Fungi; Glomeromycota. The record is from RNAcentral.